RNAcentral lists this unclassified non-coding RNA (204 nucleotides) under Hevea brasiliensis (rubber tree). The record is from RNAcentral. Lineage: Eukaryota; Viridiplantae; Streptophyta; Magnoliopsida; Malpighiales; Euphorbiaceae.
GCGGAAUGCUAUUUGCAACUCAAGGAAGAACUUGAUAAGCUUAUUGAAAACAAACUUCAGAACCCGGGACUCGAUAUUCUCAAGGAAGGCAAGUACCUUGUUCUUUCUGUUCAAGAGUUGGUGUCAGGUGACCAAUGCGAAGGGAGAUUUGUCUUUGGUCGGGACAGUAAGAAGCAAGCGUCUGGCAACGACAAAUUCACAAAG